This 1699-nucleotide ribosomal RNA is filed under the name ciliate metagenome. RNAcentral's name for it is "SSU rRNA". It matches the Rfam family "Eukaryotic small subunit ribosomal RNA". The record is from RNAcentral.
CCUGGUUGAUCCUGCCAGUAGUCAUACACUUGUCUCAAGGAUUAACCCAUGCAUGCGUAAGUAUAGUAUAAUACGGCGGAACUGCGAAUAGCUCAUUAAAACAGUUAUAAUUUACUUGAUGGAUAAAUAUAUGGAUAACUCCAGCAAACUAGAGCUAAUACAUGCGUGAAGGCCUAACUUCGGAAGGGCUGUAUUUAUUAGAUAACGCCAACUUAAUGGUGAGUCAUAAUAACUAAGCGGAUCGCGGAUUACUCUGCGAUGGAUCAUUCAAGUAUCUGCCCCAUCAGCUUCGAUGGUGGUGUAUUGGACCACCAUGGCUAUAACGGGUAACGGGGAAUAAGGGUUCGAUUCCGGAGAAAGAGCUUGAGAAACGGCUAUUACUUCUCAGGAAGGCAGCAGGGGCGUAAAUUACCCAAUCUUCACUUGAAGGAGGUAGCGACAAAAUAUAUCUGUCCUCGAACUUCGUGGACGGGAAUGAGUGCGAAAUAAACACUCGCACGAGAAACAAUUGGAGGGCAAGACUGGUGCCAGCAGCCGCGGUAAUUCCAGCUCCAAUAGUGUAUAUUAGAGUUGUUGCAGUUAAAAAGCUCGUAGUUGUAUUUCACGGGGCCGCGGUCGCAAGACCAAGGUUCCGUUCAUCUGUUAACAAACUUGUGCAAACAGGUUUGAGCUCAGAUCGUUACCUAGAGAAAAUUAGAGUGUUCAUGGCAGGCAAGGCCUGAAUACGACAGCUUGGAAUAACAAAUCAUUGGCCGUGGUCUGUGGUUGGUGGGACUAUGCGCUUGUUUAAUAGGAGCAGUCGGGGACACGGGUACUGGUCUGUCAGGGGUGAAAUCCUUGGAUCAUGCCAGGACCAACCGAAGCGAAGGCGCGUGCCAAGCAUGUCUUCGUUAAUCAAGAGCUAAAGCCAGGGGAUCAAAGACGAUCGGAUACCGUCGUAGUCCUGGCCCUAAACGAUGCCGACUAGGGAUUGGAGGAGACGUGAGCUCCUUCAGCACCUAAGGAGAAAUCAAAGUCUUUGGGCUCUGGGGGGAGUAUGGUCGCAAGGCUGAAACUCGAAGGAAUUGACGGAAGGGCACCACCAGGAGUGGAGUCUGCGGCUUAAUUGGACGCGGAACCGAGAAAUUUACCAGGGUAGGACAACGUAAGGAUUGACAGAUUGAUAGCUCUUUCUUGAUUUGUUGAGUGGUGGUGCAUGGCCGUUCCCAGCUGGUGGAGUGAUUUAAUGGUUAAUUCCUGAAACCAGCGAGACCUUCUCCCGAACUAAUUAGCGCGGAGGACUGCGCAAGUAGCCCUCCGUUGCUGCUUAGGGGGACCGCAGGGGAUAUCCCUGAGGAAGGUGAAGGCAAUAACAGGUCUGUGAUGCCCUUAGAUACCCUGGGCUGCACGCGUGCUACAAUGAUGCACUCAAUAAGUUUCGAGCCCGGAAGGGUUAGGUAACCUCGAAUAUGCAUCGUAACUGGGACAGAUCUUUGUAAUUAUAGAUCUCGAACAAGGAAUUCCUUGUAAGUGCAAGUCAUCAGCUUGCGCUGAAUAAGUCCCUGCCCUUUGUACACACCGCCCGUCGCCCCCGCUGAAACGGAUUAAUGCUUAGCCGAGCUGCCUGGAUCACCGUUCAUUUGGUGAAUAAAGGACGCAAGGCCUUGAACGUAGAAGCGGGAUGGACGUAACAAGGUUUCCGUAGGAGAACCUGCGGAAG